Molecule: transfer RNA, 75 nt
Filed under: Gemmatimonadota bacterium
Lineage: Bacteria; Pseudomonadati; Gemmatimonadota
Also listed under: 1 other name
Description: Gemmatimonadetes bacterium tRNA-Thr
Rfam family: tRNA
About the family: Transfer RNA (tRNA) molecules are approximately 80 nucleotides in length. Their secondary structure includes four short double-helical elements and three loops (D, anti-codon, and T loops).
Source: RNAcentral
GCCGAUGUAGCUCAGUUGGCAGAGCACAUCCAUGGUACGGACACGGUGCCGGUUCGAUUCCGGCCAUCGGCUCCA